RNAcentral lists this long non-coding RNA (201 nucleotides) under Brassica napus (rape). RNAcentral's name for it is "long non-coding RNA (BNAP_LNC018860)". The record is from RNAcentral. Lineage: Eukaryota; Viridiplantae; Streptophyta; Magnoliopsida; Brassicales; Brassicaceae.
GGCAUCAAUUUGUCUACAAGGUUACUAUGAUGCUGUCUUUCUCCUGGCGCAUGACGCACAGCUACCUCUUGACGAGCCAAUAGCCCUUUACCUUUGUUUCGAGUCCCUUGAAGCAGAGGACACUUCUGCUUUUCAUGAGAGAGGCGCAGACAAUGAAAGCACUUCUUCUUAACUCUCUCAUACUCCACAUCCACAUACUCC